AACGAACGCUGGCGGCAGGCUUAACACAUGCAAGUCGAACGCGUGUAGCAAUACACGAGUGGCGCACGGGUGAGUAACGCGUGGAUAUCUGCCUUUUGGUUCGGAAUAACCCCGGGAAACUGGGGCUAAUACCGGAUGGUUCCUUCGGGAUAAAGAUUUAUCGCCAAAAGAUGAGUCCGCGUCCGAUUAGCUAGUUGGUGAGGUAAUGGCUCACCAAGGCGACGAUCGGUAGCUGGUCUGAGAGGACGAUCAGCCACACUGGGACUGAGACACGGCCCAGACUCCUACGGGAGGCAGCAGUGGGGAAUAUUGGACAAUGGGGGCAACCCUGAUCCAGCCAUGCCGCGUGAGUGAUGAAGGCCUUCGGGUUGUAAAGCUCUUUUGGCGGGGACGAUGAUGACGGUACCCGCAGAAUAAGCCCCGGCUAACUUCGUGCCAGCCGCCGCGGUAA
This 451-nucleotide ribosomal RNA is filed under the name uncultured bacterium. RNAcentral describes it as "partial 16S ribosomal RNA". It matches the Rfam family "Bacterial small subunit ribosomal RNA", at positions 29 to 523 of the family's 1533-position model. The record is from RNAcentral.